GAGUUUAUCCCUGACGUUAUAGGACUCUGGCCGAUAACCAGAUUUUCGAGGGUUAAAAUCCCCCUAAACUCC
This 72-nucleotide transfer RNA is filed under the name Saccoglossus kowalevskii. Its description in RNAcentral is "tRNA-Ile". It matches the Rfam family "tRNA". From Rfam's summary of the family: Transfer RNA (tRNA) molecules are approximately 80 nucleotides in length. The record is from RNAcentral. Lineage: Eukaryota; Metazoa; Hemichordata; Enteropneusta; Harrimaniidae.